AUGCAAGUCGAACGAUGAAGCUGGAGCUUGCUCCGGUGGAUUAGUGGCGAACGGGUGAGUAACACGUGAGCAAUCUGCCCUUGACUCUGGGAUAACUGCGGGAAACUGUAGCUAAUACCGGAUACGACACCUUGGGGCAUCCCAGGGUGUGGAAAGAAUUUCGGUCAAGGAUGAGCUCGCGGCCUAUCAGCUAGUUGGUGAGGUAAUGGCUCACCAAGGCGACGACGGGUAGCCGGCCUGAGAGGGUGACCGGCCACACUGGAACUGAGACACGGUCCAGACUCCUACGGGAGGCAGCAGUGGGGAAUAUUGCACAAUGGGCGAAAGCCUGAUGCAGCAACGCCGCGUGAGGGAUGAAGGCCUUCGGGUUGUAAACCUCUUUUAGCAGGGAAGAAGCGAAAGUGACGGUACCUGCAGAAAAAGCACCGGCUAACUACGUGCCAGCAGCCGCGGUAAUACGUAGGGUGCAAGCGUUGUCCGGAAUUAUUGGGCGUAAAGAGCUCGUAGGCGGUUUGUCGCGUCUGCUGUGAAAAUCCGAGGCUCAACCUCGGACCUGCAGUGGGUACGGGCAAACUAGAGUGCGGUAGGGGAGAUGGGAAUUCCUGGUGUAGCGGUGGAAUGCGCAGAUAUCAGGAGGAACACCGAUGGCGAAGGCACAUCUCUGGGCCGUAACUGACGCUGAGGAGCGAAAGCGUGGGGAGCGAACAGGAUUAGAUACCCUGGUAGUCCACGCCGUAAACGGUGGGUGCUAGUUGUGGGUUCCAUUCCACGGAAUCUGUGACGAAGUUAACACAUUAAGCACCCCGCCUGGGGAGUACGGUCGCAAGACUAAAACUCAAAGGAAUUGACGGGGGCCCGCACAAGCGGCGGAGCAUGCGGAUUAAUUCGAUG
RNAcentral lists this ribosomal RNA (891 nucleotides) under uncultured Actinomycetales bacterium. Its description in RNAcentral is "bacterial SSU rRNA". It matches the Rfam family "Bacterial small subunit ribosomal RNA", at positions 55 to 956 of the family's 1533-position model. The record is from RNAcentral. Lineage: Bacteria; Bacillati; Actinomycetota; Actinomycetes; Actinomycetales.